AAAAAACCUAAAUUCUUUGCUUUCCUCCACCCUCCAACACUCAUUGGCUGUCAACCCUAUUAAUUGCCACUGCGCGCCGAUUUACUGUCCGGUGUCCGCAUCUGAAACAACCACACGUCUCUCUGUGUAUUUGUGUUUGUGGAAUUCUUGGUGUGAAAUCCUCGUUCCACAAGAGUGGUGGGUUGUUUUUGUCCAAACCCAAUCACUUGCAUGUGGCUCCCAACUUCUCCUAAUAUUGAAUUAAUUUUUUUUCUUUAGUUUCAAGACUCUAUCACAUCGCAGACCUUCUCCCCCAAUUCCUUCCCUUUUCUGCAGUUUUUUCCUUCUCCCAACAGGAAAAAAGCGGGCAGCUUUUCAUGGGAAAUUUCCACUUACUCUUUUUCUGAUUUAAUUAUCUGGGUGAGGCUAAAGUUGUUGGUUGGAUUCCUUUUUACUCUUUCUACUUGUUCUGUUUUGCUCAAAUCAAUCUUUGAGCAAGUCUUUUAAUUAUAUUCGAAUGGUAGAAUUAAUAUGAAUCAUACGUAUUUCCUAUAUAGAUUGAGAGCAAGUAUAUUCGCAGAGGUGUAGAAAGAGGUCAAAGAAUUUCAGAAAAAUGCUGAUUCCUCUGGGAGUGGUUAAUUAACCCUGUGAAUACAAAUGAUCAUUUAUUGUUUUAGAACCUUAACUUUCACAGUCCACGCCUUGUCUUGGCUAAGCAAUCAAACCUUCUUUGUCUUCCUCAGUUGCUUUCAUGCCCCCAAAAUUUUAUAUAGUAGCUAAAUUCUGUUGUAUUAAAAAACUCAGUCAUUUGUUUAUUCCUUGUGGAUCUCUGCAUUUGGAUUAGGGCGUUGAGCAUUUGUAAACUUUAGUAUGUAUUCUUACCCUUUUAGGAUAAUCAUUAUUGAUGGCCAUUAAGUGAUAGAAAUCGCUGCAUUGCAAACUUGUGUUUUUUGUUUUUCUAAAUAUUUUUUGCAGCAAUUUUCUAUUGAUUUCUAACUAUAAUAGCAAUUUUUUCCCACUAAUUGUGCCUUUGAUAUUUGUUUAAAAUAUCUGUUUCUAUUUGUUGCCAAAAUGUGAAUGUUUUUAAUUAAUUCUCAGUGAGUUUUUGUUGUUUUUGAUUGGUGUACACAUAAUGCCAAUAAAAGGAUUAGGCUUUCCAAGCUUUGUUAGUUUAGACCAAGCUAACCUUGAGCUUGUUGAGGAAUCUAGCCAUGCUUUAUAUUUCAUUUAUCUGUUAAUUGUUCUUAAUGUGCUUGUUCUUGGGUGAAGUUUCUUAAUAUGCCCGGUUAAGCUAGUCAAUGACCUUGCUUUUGACUAUUUGGGGCGUUAUUUAAGCUAUUCACAAUUAUUUUCUCUUUUAGACUUUGUUUCAUUUUCAUUUGAUGAUCAUUGAGUUAUACAUAGCAUUUUAUGCAUGUUAUGGGGAAGGCAAAUUGUAUUUGUUGUUUCCUAAAUACUUGUGUGACGAAAAUGGACUUCCUUUAACACUAAACAUAGUUUACCUCAACCUUCCAAUAUUAUACUUCCAACGUGCAGAGAAACAGUGUUUGAAAUGUCAGAAUGUAAUAUAGAGCUCACAAAAUAUAGAAGCUGUAGCAGUUCUUUUGUUCCUAUUUAUUUUGAAGUAGAGCUAAUUCAGUUGUAGUUGUGAAGACUAUUAAUUUCAAUUACUGCUCCCAUUUUGAGACCACCUUUAAUUUACAAAACUUGCCCAUUAACAUGUCUAAAUAAAAUUCCCAGAAAAGGUAACAAGUAUACUUUUUCAUUUAGCAGAAAAAUAUCUUGAAUUUACCUAUUUAAAAUAGAAAAAUAAUACCUGAAGUGUCCAACGUAGUAAAACUAAUCACUUUGUUUUGAUCCAUUUAGUCUUGUCACUUCAGUAACUUGAAUUUGUAAUUGCAACUAUAUUGCAGAUGGGGGACAUAGCAAAAGACUUGACUGCUGGGACUAUUGGGGGGGCUGCACAAUUGAUUGUUGGGCACCCGUUUGACACCAUCAAGGUCAAGCUUCAGAGCCAGCCUACUCCACUUCCUGGCCAACCUCCCAAUUAUGCAGGUGCAAUGGAUGCUGUCAGGCAGACUUUGGCUGCUGAAGGCCCAAGGGGUUUAUACAAGGGUAUGGGGGCUCCACUUGCUACUGUGGCAGCCUUCAAUGCUGUCCUUUUCACCGUGAGGGGACAAAUGGAGGCAUUGUUGAGAUCUCAACCUGGUGCUCCACUUACGGUUAGCCAGCAGAUUGUUUGUGGGGCAGGAGCUGGAGUUGCUGUUUCUCUCCUUGCUUGCCCUACUGAGUUGAUUAAGUGCAGGUCAGUGUUGUGAUCUCCACUCCCCCAACCCAAAAGGAGUUUGGGGAAAAUGAGAAAUUUUGAUUUUGACCUUUUAAUGAAGCAUCAAUCUCCUGAUUUCAUUGCCUUAGCAGGCUUAGCUCAUUAGUUAUGCAGCUCUACAUGGAGAAGUCUUUUCUGUUUCAAACUUUUCCUGAGAUUUCUGCAAAUUCGUAAAUGUCCUAUAAUUUCGGUGAAUGUCCUAUAAUUUCGGUGAUAAUGUAUAUAUAUAAACCUUCUGGAAUGCUUCUUUUUCAUUUUGCUUUUUCUUGUUCCUUUUUCCCUUCAACCUUUUAAGGCUAUGCUCGAUCUCCCAAAUUUACUAGGUUUUACUGUGCCUGUUGAACUUAAACAAUUUGGUUGCAUCUGUACUGUUUUUUCUUCAAUUUCCACAAGAAUCUUAGUGACAAUCUAGAUCAUUUUUUAACUUUUUUAUCCUUUGUGUAUGAAGAAAAUUCUGAACUUGUGCUUCUACCUGUAAACUGUUUGCUUUCAUAUUGAGGACAGGUUGCAAGCACAAAGUGCAUUAGCUGGUUCUGGUUCUGGUUCUGGUUCGGAAGCUGUGGCAGUGAAGUAUGGCGGGCCAAUGGAUGUGGCCAGGCAUGUUCUCAAAUCUGAAGGUGGUGUGAGAGGUCUUUUCAAGGGCUUGGUACCCACUUUGGGACGUGAGGUUCCAGGAAACGCUGCUAUGUUUGGUGUCUAUGAAUUACUGAAGCAAUCCUUGGCAGGAGGCCAGGAUACUUCUCAGUUGGGAAGGGGUUCUUUGAUGUUGGCUGGAGGCUUAGCUGGAGGAUCCUUUUGGCUAAUGGUAUACCCUACUGAUGUGAUCAAGAGUGUAAUUCAGGUAGAUGAUUACAGAAAUCCCAAGUUCAGAGGCUCCAUUGACGCUUUUAGAAAGAUCCUGGCAUCGGAGGGUGUCAAAGGCUUGUAUAAGGGUUUUGGCCCUGCUAUGGCCCGAAGCGUGCCUGCAAAUGCAGCAUGUUUCUUGGCAUAUGAAGUCACAAGGUCUAGUUUAGGAUGAUUGAUUUAUCAUUUUGACCACUGUUAUCAUUUUGCUUAUCUCGAAGUCCUCUCUUGCCAUUGAAUGAGAGCUUCUUCGAGUAAUUGUUUAGCAAUAUGAUAACAGUUUAUUUAUCAGAAAAUGAAUAGGCCUUUUAUCCUCACAAAUUUCUGUGAUGAAAGAAACACUUACGACACCAAUAGUUGCAUAUUUUUAUCAUUUACAGCAGAUGGUUUUUCAUGUGAUAGUUAAACAAAAGACCUGUAGGUCAGUUCAAGAGCAGAACUACAUCUAUUCUGUACCCAUCCCCAUCCAAGCCAUCUUUAUGAGUUGUCCUCCUAAAGAUGGGAGCUGAAUACGUUACACUAUUUAUAGAUGAG
This 3682-nucleotide unclassified non-coding RNA is filed under the name Hevea brasiliensis (rubber tree). The record is from RNAcentral. Lineage: Eukaryota; Viridiplantae; Streptophyta; Magnoliopsida; Malpighiales; Euphorbiaceae.